This 423-nucleotide ribosomal RNA is filed under the name uncultured prokaryote. RNAcentral describes it as "bacterial SSU rRNA". It matches the Rfam family "Bacterial small subunit ribosomal RNA", at positions 355 to 776 of the family's 1533-position model. RNAcentral also lists the same sequence under 1 other name. The record is from RNAcentral.
UGAGGAAUAUUGGACAAUGGCCGGAAGGCUGAUCCAGCCAUGCCGCGUGCAGGAUAAGGUCCUAUGGAUUGUAAACUGCUUUUAAUAGGGAGCAAUAAGGUGUACGUGUACACCGAUGAGAGUACCUAUGGAAUAAGCAUCGGCUAACUCCGUGCCAGCAGCCGCGGUAAUACGGAGGAUGCGAGCGUUAUCCGGAUUUAUUGGGUUUAAAGGGUGCGUAGGCGGCUAUGUAAGUCAGCGGUGAAAUUCAAGUGCUCAACAUUUGACGUGCCGUUGAAACUGCGUGGCUUGAAUGCGGAUGCCGUGGGAGGAAUGUGUGGUGUAGCGGUGAAAUGCAUAGAUAUCACACAGAACACCGAUUGCGAAGGCAUCUCACGAAUCCGCUAUUGACGCUGAGGCACGAAAGUGCGGGGAUCAAACAGG